AUUGAACGCUGGCGGCAGGCCUAACACAUGCAAGUCGAGCGGAUGAGUGGAGCUUGCUCCAUGAUUCAGCGGCGGACGGGUGAGUAAUGCCUAGGAAUCUGCCUGGUAGUGGGGGACAACGUUUCGAAAGGAACGCUAAUACCGCAUACGUCCUACGGGAGAAAGCAGGGGACCUUCGGGCCUUGCGCUAUCAGAUGAGCCUAGGUCGGAUUAGCUAGUAGGUGAGGUAAAGGCUCACCUAGGCGACGAUCCGUAACUGGUCUGAGAGGAUGAUCAGUCACACUGGAACUGAGACACGGUCCAGACUCCUACGGGAGGCAGCAGUGGGGAAUAUUGGACAAUGGGCGAAAGCCUGAUCCAGCCAUGCCGCGUGUGUGAAGAAGGUCUUCGGAUUGUAAAGCACUUUAAGUUGGGAGGAAGGGCAGUAAGUUAAUACCUUGCUGUUUUGACGUUACCAACAGAAUAAGCACCGGCUAACUUCGUGCCAGCCGCCGCCGUAA
Molecule: ribosomal RNA, 500 nt
Filed under: uncultured bacterium
Lineage: Bacteria
Description: partial 16S ribosomal RNA
Rfam family: Bacterial small subunit ribosomal RNA
Source: RNAcentral